RNAcentral lists this ribosomal RNA (448 nucleotides) under uncultured bacterium. RNAcentral describes it as "SSU rRNA". It matches the Rfam family "Bacterial small subunit ribosomal RNA", at positions 26 to 518 of the family's 1533-position model. The record is from RNAcentral.
AGGGCGAACGCUGGCGGCAGGCUUAACACAUGCAAGUCGAGCGGGCGUAGCAAUACGUCAGCGGCAGACGGGUGAGUAACGCGUGGGAACGUACCUUUUGGUUCGGAACAACCCAGGGAAACUUGGGCUAAUACCGGAUAAGCCCUUACGGGGAAAGAUUUAUCGCCGAAAGAUCGGCCCGCGUCUGAUUAGCUAGUUGGUGAGGUAAUGGCUCACCAAGGCGACGAUCAGUAGCUGGUCUGAGAGGAUGAUCAGCCACAUUGGGACUGAGACACGGCCCAAACUCCUACGGGAGGCAGCAGUGGGGAAUAUUGGACAAUGGGCGCAAGCCUGAUCCAGCCAUGCCGCGUGAGUGAUGAAGGCCCUAGGGUUGUAAAGCUCUUUUGUGCGGGAAGAUAAUGACGGUACCGCAAGAAUAAGCCCCGGCUAACUUCGUGCCAGCAGCCGC